RNAcentral lists this long non-coding RNA (690 nucleotides) under Homo sapiens (human). Its description in RNAcentral is "HSALNT0396453". The record is from RNAcentral. Lineage: Eukaryota; Metazoa; Chordata; Mammalia; Primates; Hominidae.
GGGACCUCCCUGGAACCACACAGGCCAUGGGUGAGUAAACAAGAGGCGCUUGAACCUGGAGCCCCCCGGCCUGAACCUGGAGCUGUUCUUACCGAACAAAUAUUAAUCAUGGCAAUUGGGAAAUAACUGAGCACCAACCCUGGCCCAGGCAUUCAACAUCUUGCCAUCCUGAGGUGGUGGCUGAUGCCUGGAAUCCCAGCACUUUGGGAGGCCGAGGCAGGUGGAUUGCUUGAGCCCAGGAGUGCGAGAACAGCCUGGGCAACAUGGUAAAACCCCGUCUCUACUAAAAAUACAAAAGUUAGCUGGGUGGGGUGGCAUAUGCCUGUAAUCCCAGCUACUCGGGAGGCUGAGGCAGGAGAAUCGCUUGAACCCAGGAGAUGGAGGUUGCAGUGAGCGGAGAUCGAGCCACUGCACUCCAGCCUGGGUGACAGAGAGAGACUCUGUCUCAAAAACAAAACAAAACAAAACUGUAUUUUACAACUACAUUGACAUAAAGACAAAUAUAUUAAUAUUAUACACAAAAAUGUUUCCUUCAACCCAAGAGUUCAUUUUUUUCCCUUUGGAUUUUAAAAGAAGUGAAAACAUCAACCUAGGGACCCCUAAAAGCACUGUGAGCCUGAGACACUGGGCAUUUUGGGUCUGAUGGAGAAGUCAGCCCUGCUAGAACCCAAGUCUCCCAGCCUGUACAGU